RNAcentral lists this ribosomal RNA (274 nucleotides) under uncultured bacterium. Its description in RNAcentral is "partial 16S ribosomal RNA". It matches the Rfam family "Bacterial small subunit ribosomal RNA", at positions 523 to 796 of the family's 1533-position model. The record is from RNAcentral.
AUACGUAGGUCCCGAACGUUGCGCGAAAUUACUGGGCGUAAAGGGUCCGUAGGCGGUCUGGUAAGUGGAAGGUGAAAGCCUGGGGCUCAACUCCAGAAUUGCCUUCCAAACUGCCGGACUUGAGGCAGGGAGAGGUCGGCGGAAUUCCCGGUGUAGUGGUGAAAUGCGUAGAUAUCGGGAGGAACACCAGUGGCGAAGGCGGCCGACUGGAACUGUCCUGACGCUGAGGGACGAAAGCCAGGGGAGCGAACCGGAUUAGAUACCCUAGUAGUCC